GUUACAGAAUAUCCUUUUUUGGCUUUCCUCAAAGUGCUUACAUUUAUGACAAACAGAUUGUAAGUCAUAAUUACCUAUAUAAGGAAUGAUUGUAAAAUAAGUGUUGAUUGGAAAGCACUUGGAAUAAGUGUAUGAGGUGCUAUAUAAAUGCUAAAUGUCAUUCAUUUAGAAAUUGUAUGCCUUUGAUCUGUUGAAUUUAAGUUCCGUAAUUUAAUUGUAUAAUUUCCUUAUCAUCCCUGUUUUGUUUUGUUUUUUCUUAAAGGGUGGCCCACUUUAAAAGAGCACAAUGUAUGUAAAAUUGGGGGUAAUUUUUUUAAUGAGUCUCCUUAUAAUAACUUCUUUUUGAAAGAAGCUGUUCAUUACUCAUGAAUUGAUCAUAUUUGUUGCCUGGAUUUGGUUAUGUUAAGUACCUCUGUGCCCAGGUAACAUAGAGAUAGAAACAUUACUUCAGUAGACAUUUAUUAAGUACUUAUGUGCAACAAUUUAUGCUUAGUUUGAGUUUGAAUUUAACAUGAAACACUACAUUUGAGCUUCUAAACACAACUCCAUACAUGAACUAAUUAAUAAAGUUUGAAAAAUUAUUUUAUAAUUUUAUUAUCAAGAUUGAAGUUUAAUUCAGACUUUCAAAAACCAUAUAUUUAAAAUUUUUUAUUUCAGUAGUUUACUCUUUGGUAUAUAGCACCCAUGCAAAUAUUAAACAGUAGUAAAAAAAAAAAAACUUUUUAAACUCCCAAGGAAAGAAAGAAUAAUGUAUUGGAAUGUAUUUUAAAAUGAUUCAAAAGAAGCCCUAAUUUUGUUAUUUGCAUUGUAAUAUUUCCUUUACAAGGUUAAAAGCAAAGAAAGUUGCAUUCGAUAGUAUGCAAAUUGUUGACAUUAUCGUAACACCUUUUCUGUCAACUGUCAGCUGAGAAUCUAUAUUUUCGGUUAGAUCAUACAUCAGCAAGAAAACAGAGGUGAUAAGAGGAGGGGAGAUAUGCACUGAGGAAUUCUUGGAGAUCCAUAGAUUCAGGAUACUAAAAUUAUAAAAUGCAUAAUAUUUUAAUGGGAAUAGAAUUUGACAGGGUUUUUUUAUUUUUUUUUUUUGUUUUGUUUUGUUUUGUUUUGUUUGUUGCAACUUACUCUUGUAUCUUAACACAGAAUUGGAAACUGAAACUACUUUUAAAGGUAGGCCUUGGCAAGUCUAGUUAAUAUAAGUGAAAGGGAAGGAGGAUCUUGUGAGUUAGUUAAUAAAAUAAGGUUAGAUUUUAAUUGUAGUUUGCUAUUGUCUUUCUGUAACCACUGUCAGCCCUAGGGACAGAUUUCUAAGUUGGCCUGGGAAGAUGUCAAACUUAAAGCAGGAAGGUUUAUUUCUGGUGUUUCUUUGGCAUCUUUUUGCAUGCUAUUAUCUUUGUGUUUAUAUUUGUAAUGCUGGCCUUCUUUUGAAUUCUUGUUUCCAUUUAGUAUCUAUAUACUAUGUCUUGAUACAUAGAAGGAAUUGUAAAAAUUCUAUUUUUUCAUAAUGUUUAUAAGAACCAGGAUCUAAAUAUGCUAAGUAUGUGAUUGAGGGCCAAGAGUAACAUUUUUGACUUUUCAUUCUCUCGGCUAUCUUAUUCCUAAUCACAAGGCUGUUGAGAGUCUUUAUAUAUCUCCUCUUCUAUAAAAUAAUGGCUCAGGAUCAUGAGAUUAGAAGUUAGUAACUAUACAUUUAUAAAUGCUAUUAUUAUAUGUGACUUUUUUCCUUCUUUCAUAAAUUUCUGAUGGGUAUUGUCUACUUGCGUUUAUAAUCUAUUUCUGUGGAACUAAUAAUGGUAUGAAUAAAAAUACAGUAUUAUUCUAUUUAGUUAUGGUGAGCUAUUAGUAUAAGCAAGUGGAAUUUAUAAGCACAGGUGUCCAUUUUUACAUAAAGGAUUAUUUUUCUGAGCAGAGGAAUAGGAUGAAAAAUAACAAAAGGUAAGAGUAGAAUUUGAAUGGCAUUGAAGUAUCGCUAUGUAAACUAUCCUCUAGAGAAUUUUAUCGUGGCAAUCCAGUUAUCCAAGGUUCCAGAUUUAAAAAAAAAAAAACUACAAACAUCUGCAACUCAGUACUAUUUGCUCACACUCUCCACUUCAGAAAUAGAUUAUUUCUUAUCUCCCAAGGGCCUAGGAUAUUAUUUGAUAUCCUUUUAAAAUUAAGUUUUAUUUCAUUUGAGAGUAGGACAUGUUCUAUUGAUGAAUUACUUCAUUGAUUUUUUUUUAAAGUAGCUUUUUGUUUAAAUCCCAGUAAAAUUAGAUGUCAUCUUGAAAAUCUAUUGAAUGUAUAGAAAAUACUUAUAUAUUUAACCCUUCUAAGAUAACAGUUCAUUAAUCAGGGGAAAGAAAAACUGAAUCUGAAGUCAGGAGUCCUGGAUUCAGAUCCUCCCUCCGUAGUUGCGUGGUCUUGGAUCUAUGUAAUCCAUACAUAUCUUUCCAUAAUAUCCUAGACCUUAGUUUUUCAUCCCUUUCUAAGGUCUUCCAGUUCUAAAUCUGUGAUCCUCUUGUUUAGAAUCUCAAGAAUGUGAAACCUACGUUGAAACAGAAAUCUAAAUUUUACAAAUAUAUAAAUCCUAGGCCUCAGAAACAGAAAAAGUCUUUUCCUCUCUCACAUAUUCAGUUGCUAUGUUUGAAACUUAUCUGAAACUGUUCAAACUAGUCAAAAAGGAAAUGAACAAACUAGUUUUGCAGCUAUAUAGAGAAUUUAUUUGUUAUAAAACUGUGUGGAAAAGGUACCACAUUUUCAUAUUCCUGCAUUAUAAGGUUAUGUUUCUUUAGAGCAAGUAUGCUUGUUAAAAAUUUAAACAGCUUCACAUAAAUUUAAGAGAGACUUUUAAACUAAAGGGAAAAUAAGAAAGCAAAACUUUUAGCAUACCUUUUUGGUGUUCUUUCUGUGUUUUUCUUCAUGAAAACAUUAGCAAGCUGACUUAAAAUUGAGAAAAGAAAUAGAAUUUACCUUAAGAGAGUACAGAGUUUCUGGACUAUCCAUUAAAUCAAAAUAAUAUGAUUUCCUGCUGAGUCAUCAGCUUGCCAAAAUGGCAGCUUAAUUCAUGUUGGUUCUUCCUUUUAUUGUAUAAUAAAAUUGGGUUUUGUGUCAUUCUUUAUAUGUAUAUUUGACUAAACUAUUUUGCAUCAUAUAGUUUGGAAGGAAAAAUAUUCUAAAUAUGACUAAUUUUUUAUUUCUUUAAAGCAUCAUUCCUUUUGUUGGAAAUUUUCAUCCAAUUUCAAGGGUGAACUAUUCCAUUUAGGCAAAAAAAAUCCUUAGUCUUUUCUAUUUUGUAAUAAAUUGUUCUUUGAACUCACCCACAGAAAAGAUAAAGUUAAAUGUGAUGGUUAGGCAAAAUAAAAGUGACCUUUUUGAGAGUAAAUUGUAAUAUGGCACAAGUAGUAAUGGCUUCAUGUUUUUUUUUAAUGUCUGCAUAUGUCCAGGGGAAUUAUGUAAUCAUUAUUGAUAACCUUUUCCCACUCCUAAAAUUAUUUAUUCAUCAAGUGUUCAUGCACUGUUACCUUUGUGGAUAUGAAUACUUACAAAAUGUUGCAUGACACUUUUGAAAUAACGAACUACUUGGUUUUCUUGUGUUACAAGAAGAUAAAUUAAAAAUAUCACUGAUUCACUUCUUUAGGAAGUGAAAGCCAAGCUGGUCUUGGCAAUUGUAUGAAUUUUGGAAAUGCUGAGAUCCAGAAAUCUCAUGUAACACCACUAGUCAGGUGUAAUUUGAGGCUACUUUUCUAUAUCUAUAACUAGGAGAAUGUGAUAUCGGGGAUAAAAUGAAGGAGAAAGGAACUCAUUUGGAUAAGAAAUAGAUAAUGUCCAAUAACAGGGGAAAAUAAGAUUUAACACAUUAUAUACUUAUAUACAUUCCCAAAGGUAAUAUUUCUGUAAAAAAAAGUUGUGCUUCUGUUGCAGAUGUGAAUUAGUUCUGUUAAUAUUUUCAUACACUUCCUUUCAUUUAUUACUUAGAGAAACAAAUAACCUUUUUAAUAACUCUUUGGACAGAAGCACUGUUUAUAAAAUUUUUAAUUGUUUACUUCUAUAUACAUUAAUCAUGUUUUUUGGUGAGCAAUUCAAAUGCUUUUCUAAAGUUAUUUCCAAGAUUCUCCUUAGUUUAUCACAGUCCAUGAUAUGGUGAGAAUGAUUUGAUGAUUGGAAAGCAUGGCCAAAUUGGUUCUCCAAAUUUCCUUAAAGCAACUACCUUUUUUGUUCCUGCUACUUUUUUCUUCCAAUUUUCUUUUCUUUUCUUUUUUUUUUUUUUUCUUCCAAUUUUCAAAAGGGCUUCUCAAGAACUAUAGGUUUCCACAGAGUAACAACUUAAGAAGCACCUUAAAAAUCAAUGUGGUCAUUUAAUUUGUCUGUGCUGUCUUUUCCAGGCCCUACCCCAAGACUACACUAGACACUAGAGUGUAGGCACUAGGUGUUAAAGAGUUCUGAGGAUUAAAAUGAAUGAACUUACUAUGAUUGGAAAACCUCUAGCCUAUAUGCCUAUUUAGAAGAUUAAGAAUAGUUAAUAGUGCCAUCAUGAGAAGAAAGUUGUCUAUCAGAGCAAGGAAAACAUGGAGAACUAGGCAAAAGGAUAGGCAAAGAUAUAGAUAUGUAAACACACAUAUCUAUUUCUAUGGAUGAGUAAUGGCCUUUCUGAGCUCUAAAAACUGGUGAUGAUGGUUGAUGUCUUAAGAUUAGGAAGAGGUGCCAAUAUAAAAAUAGAAAGGGGGCAUUGGGAGAAAUAUUCUUUAUAGUAUAUUUGUUAUAUGCUGUGACACACUUUAUAUAUACUCUCAACAUAAGUUGUAUAGGCAUUCAUAAUAAUACAAGUGAGGGAGUCUUUAAUGUUUUACCUGUUAAUCAUUUAUAUAUUAUUUAUACUUCAACACUCAGUGCACUUUACAAAUACAUCAUUAAUUCUCCCUAUAUUUCUCCACAUGUAUUUCUGUCUUUUCCACGAGAAUAAUCUAGAGGAUGGCCCAAAUAAAUGAACAUUUUAUGUAUUGCUAAAUGGAUGAAAUUCUAAGCCUAGAACCAAACUAUCUUCCUUUUCAGCAAUUAAUUGACAUUUAAUAGAGCACAUCAAUUUAGCAGAAAGUAUUAAGUCCUUUUUAAACUAUAGGCCUAGUAGUCAUAUGUUUUUCUGAUGCUAUAGUUAUAUAGCACUUAUUUGCCAGCUUUGAAUUGUUAGAUCAUCAAGCCUUGCAUUUUCAGAUCUACAUCAAGUUAACUUUAAAAGGAAUCCUUCCUGAAUCUUGCAUAAUAAAACCAAAUCAUUGAUCACACCUUAAAAUUAUCUUUUCUGCCCCCUGGAAUUUAAGCUAUACUCCUUUAAACUUCAACCUUCUCCUGCCACCUCCCAUCCCCCAAAAAGAAACUUAAUUUGUAAGAGUCUCUUUUCUUCUAAAUUGUUAACAAGGAAAAGUACUUACUAAGCGCCAAACUCACUCCCCCUUGAAUUGAUGAUUUUAGAACUUGCUUUGUAGACAUUUAACAUAGGGAGGUUUUUAAAACUUUUUUAUAUGUCUUUCUCACAAAAUGAAAGAUCUCGCUUUGUUUGGAAUAGAAUUCUGUCAUCGCAAAUAUAAGAAGGGAAACAAAGUUUGAGGAGCUAUGGUCUCCUUAAAGUGUUUUAAUGUUUUUGUUGGUAAACUUGGGCUACUAUGUUAAUGUUUUCCUUGCCAAAGUUUUCAACUCAGUCUAUUAUAGGAGUUUUGUGUCAACUGCCACCGCUACCCCCUCCUUCCUCUUCCAAGCACAUCUCCAAUUUUAUAUUAGGAAUCAAUGAGAAGGUAAAAGUCACAUUAUAAUCAAAUCACUGGAAUGUAUAUGCUCCAUAGAGCAUUGCUUUUUCUAGUAACUGCCAAAGAGUCAGUCAGUUAAUAAAAGUAAUAGACAACAUUUUCCUGGGCUUAGUUAUCUGUUCCACUGUUUGUCUGCAGUAUUGUUUCUUCUUCUGUGGUAAUUAAAUGAGUCUGAUCUGGUAGAAGAGAGGCAGAUAGUGGGGCAAAAGAUGUCUAUUUUCUUUCAACAGCAAUGCUAUUUUAUAACUAAAAUAGGAAAUCUGUUAUUUGAAAUCUCUUCAGAAAAGAAAGUCAAACUGUUUUGGAAUCAGCAUCACUGAGCAUGAGUUUGUCUAGGAAUUGCUCAGAUAUUUCAGUAAAUGAAGAGAAACUUAAUAUGUUUUUUAAAAAAUAACAAUUGGGGCCAAAUAGCAUUUUUGGUUCAAAUCCCUUCUCUGUGUAGCUUUUAAUGUAGCAUAUUGUUGAACUAGGUAGCAUGCAGUUGUACUCCAUUUUUGGUGUUCAGAGAACUACUAGAAAAAUGUCUUAUCCCAGAAGGAUUAGUUUAGGCCAUUUAGGGUAUUUUGUACCACAGAUUAAAAGAGCUGUUUUACCUAUUAUUCCUGAAAUUCAUACCUAACCUUUUAAGUCACAAGAAGAAGCUCGCACCUUUUAAACUCAUUUUUAAUAUGGUUGGUUUUUUUAAAUUAUGUGGCCUGUACUGAAAGUUAAUGUUUUCUUAGCACUUUAUUUCUCAAUGAAGUAGAUCUUUAUCCAUUACAUAAAUAUUGUGAGCAGUUUUCAUUUUUAAUAGUGGUUAACUGUUAAUUUUGUUAUUAUUAUUUCUGGGAUAAUGGUUAUAUAACUAUAAUAUGAUUUAUUCACCAACAACUGUUAAGUACAUAAUCUCUUUUCAAGUUUGUCUUUAAAACUUCACAAAAUACUUUGUUUCUGUAGUACAUUACAGCAUAAUGAAAUUUGCCACCUUUUAUUUUUUUUUUUAACUGAUUUAGUGCUCUUUCAGUUGUCUUCAGUUUUCAAGUUGUCUAAUGCCCCUCACUCUUACUAAAAUAUAGUGAGAUUCAAGCAAACUCUUAAUGUUUUUAUUGGUAGUUUUUAUCUUUGUGGUCUAAUUUGAAUUAUUAACAUUAAGCAUAUCAUUUACUUUUAUGUAUAAAGCAAAUAACUCAGUCAUUGGGAUAAUACAUCUUAUUACACUGGGAUAAUACAAUCAUUUUUGAAAUAGCAUAAAUCCUAUUACUGAAGCACUUGUAUAUUCAUAAAGAUAUAUGCCGAUCUGUUAAGGAUGUUUGGUGAAAUGAUAUAAAUCACUAAUGAUUUUUCCAUUAAUUUAGUUACUGUUACCUCAAGCCAUCCCAUUGUCUUUCUCUUUAUCUAUUCAUUUUUAAAGAAAACAAAUUAGAAAAACAACAAAUUUUCCAUGUAAUUCAAAUCCAUAUAAAUCAAAUCAUGAAAGUCUUAGAAUUGAGCAUUGGUUAAUAGAGUAUUUAGUUUAAUGUCAUAUUUUACUGAAAAACUUUUAUUUUUGGUUAAGGAAACAUUUCAAUUUGCUUAAGAGAAAUAAAUCAGCAUAAAUUCAAAACAUUACUAUAUAUGCACAUUUUUUUUUCCUUAACAAGUUUUGUUUAAUGUUAAAAUGCACUAAAAUAUUCCAUUUUCUGUUAAGAUGUCACAUUUGCCAGUACAGAAGCACCACAGUUCUUUGUACUAUCAGGGGAGAUUCAUUUUCAAAACUGUCUUUUAUUAUUUUUAAUAUUUCAGCAUCUACCAGUUUGCAUCACUUAAGAUUUUAAUUUUGGACAUGAAAUAGUAAAAUUCAAACGUGAACUAAUAAUUUGCCUUAAUCUACUUUUGCCUUUGGGUUGGGGGGAAGAAAAAUGAAUAGUUUAAAAAAAAACCCUGAGUUUUUAAAAGGCCUUUUUUUUUUCUUUUUUGGGGGGGCCAUUUAGUGCUAAAAGCUUUUCAGAUGAUCUGAAAAAUGACAGUACAUUAGAUUUGGAAUUGUAUUUUACUUACAGUUCCAAUUCUGGUAUAGCCUUAUUUAUGUCUUAAAUAUUGUAGAAUUUUCUGUGGAUUGUUGUUUAUUUGUAAUCUGACAGUUUAUAACCACCCUGAAUUUUGCCACUUUCUAAAUGGAAGUUGCUGGAUAUAGUGUUCUAAUUUCCUGCUGGAAAUCAAACAUGAUGCUAGAAUUUCAUUCAUGAUUGAAAGUGAUGGUUGUUAUGAUACAGGGCUCUUCUUGAUGAUGGAGUUAUCUAUAUGUAAUUGAGUGUAAGCAUUUUUCCAACUUGCUGAUUUAUUGUGUGCUGAGUAUUGUUGAAUUUGCCACUUUUAUUUUCUGAGCAGGAAUUUGUUUGAAAGUCUUCAGUAAAACUUUGAUUAAUGUACCACCUCUCCCCUUCCCCCAAAACUAUCCAGAAAUCUAUCAGAAAAUGGAUUUGUAAUAUGUUGAAAUAUUGUAUUGCUUUUUGUCUUUAUUUUAGUCUUAUAACUGCCAAAUUGUUACGGUAUUAUUAAGGAUAUUGUGUGUUUAUAUAUAUGCAUAUAAACUAUAUGUAUAUGAAAACUAAAACAAGAUUUGGUCAAACUAUAUUUUCCCAUUGAAUACAUUAAUGUUUUCAAGGCUGCAAAAAGUGUACAGU
RNAcentral lists this long non-coding RNA (8413 nucleotides) under Sarcophilus harrisii (Tasmanian devil). RNAcentral's name for it is "lncRNA (ENSSHAG00000020877.1)". Lineage: Eukaryota; Metazoa; Chordata; Mammalia; Dasyuromorphia; Dasyuridae. The record is from RNAcentral.